GUGUUGUAUGAAAGGAGAGAAGGUUGGCAUUCCCCUUGACGAGAAUGAAAGAGGCCCUCAGGCCUGCACAGCACACAUAUAGUUAAGGUUUUACCACCUACUUUGUAGCAUUUAACCAUGUUUUUUC
Molecule: non-coding RNA, 127 nt
Filed under: Prolemur simus (greater bamboo lemur)
Lineage: Eukaryota; Metazoa; Chordata; Mammalia; Primates; Lemuridae
Source: RNAcentral